RNAcentral lists this ribosomal RNA (628 nucleotides) under Elsinoe rosarum. Its description in RNAcentral is "eukaryotic LSU rRNA". It matches the Rfam family "Eukaryotic large subunit ribosomal RNA", at positions 149 to 797 of the family's 3401-position model. The record is from RNAcentral. Lineage: Eukaryota; Fungi; Ascomycota; Dothideomycetes; Myriangiales; Elsinoaceae.
UUUGUAGAGGAUGCUAUUGAGUUGUCACCGGUCUAAGUUCCUUGGAACAGGACGUCAUAGAGGGUGAGAAUCCCGUAUGUGACCGGCCAGACGCUCUCUGUAUAGCUCCUUCGACGAGUCGGGUUGUUUGGGAAUGCAGCCCUAAAUGGGAGGUAAAUUUCUUCUAAAGCUAAAUACCGGCCAGAGACCGAUAGCGCACAAGUAGAGUGAUCGAAAGAUGAAAAGCACUUUGGAAAGAGAGUUAAAAAGCACGUGAAAUUGUUGAAAGGGAAGCGCUUGCAAUCAGUCUCGACGGCGGCUGUUCGGCCUCUCUUCUGAGUGGUUUAUUCAGUCGCCGCCGGGCCAGCAUCAGUUCUGGCGGUCGGAUAAAGACGCGGGGAAUGUAGCUCCUCUCGGGGAGUGUUAUAGCCUCGCGUGCAAUACGGCCUGCCGGGACUGAGGUCCGCGCUUCGGCUAGGAUGCUGGCGAAAUGGUUGUAAGCGGCCCGUCUUGAAACACGGACCAAGGAGUCUAACAUCUAUGCGAGUGUUUGGGUGUCAAACCCGUACGCGUAAUGAAAGUGAACGGAGGUGGGAACCGCAAGGUGCACCAUCGACCGAUCCUGAUGUCUUCGGAUGGAUUUGAGUAA